GAUGAACGCUGGCGGUAUGCCUAACACAUGCAAGUCGUACGAGAGUUUUUAACUCUAGUGGCGGACGGGUGAGUAACACGUGAGAAUUUGCCUUUAGGAGGGGGGACAACAAUUGGAAACGAAUGCUAAUACCCCAUAUGCUUUCGAGUGAAAUGGAUUUUAUCCGCCUAGAGAGAAGCUCGCGGCUGAUUAGCUUGUUGGUAAGGUAAGAGCUUACCAAGGCGACGAUCAGUAUCNGGUUUGAGAGGACGAUCAGACACACUGGAACUGAGACACGGUCCAGACUCCUACGGGAGGCAGCAGUGGGGAAUUUCCGCAAUGGGCGAAAGCCUGACGGAGCAAUACCGCGUGAGGGAAGAAUGCCUAUGGGUUGUAAACCUCUUUUUCAGGGAGGAAUAAAAUGACGUGUACCUGAAGAAUAAGCAUCGGCUAACUCCGUG
Molecule: ribosomal RNA, 440 nt
Filed under: uncultured bacterium
Lineage: Bacteria
Description: bacterial SSU rRNA
Rfam family: Bacterial small subunit ribosomal RNA
Source: RNAcentral